This 153-nucleotide non-coding RNA is filed under the name Chlorocebus sabaeus (green monkey). The record is from Rfam by way of RNAcentral. Lineage: Eukaryota; Metazoa; Chordata; Mammalia; Primates; Cercopithecidae.
GCCAGGUAUGGUGGUGCACGCCUGUAAUCCCAGCUACUUGGGAGGCUAAGGUGGGAGAAUUGCUUGAGUCCGGGAGGCAGAGGUUGCAGUGAGCCGAGCCGAGAUUGUGCCACUGCACUCUAGCCUGGGCAACAGAGUGAGACUCUGUCUUAA